AUUGAACGCUGGCGGCAUGCCUUACACAUGCAAGUCGAACGGUAACAGGUCUUCGGAUGCUGACGAGUGGCGAACGGGUGAGUAAUACAUCGGAACGUGCCCGAUCGUGGGGGAUAACUGCUCGAAAGAGCAGCUAAUACCGCAUACGAUCUACGGAUGAAAGCGGGGGAUCGCAAGACCUCGCGCGGACGGAGCGGCCGAUGGCAGAUUAGGUAGUUGGUGGGAUAAAAGCUUACCAAGCCGACGAUCUGUAGCUGGUCUGAGAGGACGACCAGCCACACUGGGACUGAGACACGGCCCAGACUCCUACGGGAGGCAGCAGUGGGGAAUUUUGGACAAUGGGCGCAAGCCUGAUCCAGCCAUGCCGCGUGCAGGAUGAAGGCCUUCGGGUUGUAAACUGCUUUUGUACGGAACGAAAAGACUCCUUCUAAUAAAGGGGGUCCAUGACGGUACCGUAAGAAUAAGCACCGGCUAACUACGUG
RNAcentral lists this ribosomal RNA (482 nucleotides) under uncultured bacterium. RNAcentral describes it as "bacterial SSU rRNA". It matches the Rfam family "Bacterial small subunit ribosomal RNA", at positions 30 to 507 of the family's 1533-position model. The record is from RNAcentral.